CCCUACGGGGCGCAGCAGGCGCGAAAACUUCGCACUGUGCGAAAGCACGACGAGGGAAUCCCAAGUGCUAGCUCGUUAGAGUCAGCUGUUUCUCUGUCUAAAAACAGAGAGAGUAAGGGCUGGGUAAGACGGGUGCCAGCCGCCGCGGUAAUACCUGCAGCCCAAGUGGUGACUGUUAUUAUUGGGCCUAAAACGUCCGUAGCCGGUUUAGUAAAUGCCUGGGUAAAUCGUACGGCUUAACCGUACGAAGUCCGGGUAGACUGCUGAACUUGAGAUCGGGAGAGGCUAGAGGUACUCCUGGGGUAGAGGUGAAAUCCUGUAAUCC
Molecule: ribosomal RNA, 325 nt
Filed under: uncultured archaeon
Lineage: Archaea
Description: bacterial SSU rRNA
Rfam family: Archaeal small subunit ribosomal RNA
Source: RNAcentral